GACGAACGCUGGCGGCGUGCUUAACACAUGCAAGUCGAACGGAAAGGCCCUGCUUUUGUGGGGUGCUCGAGUGGCGAACGGGUGAGUAACACGUGAGUAACCUGCCCUGGACUUUGGGAUAACGUCAGGAAACUGGGGCUAAUACCGGCUAGCAGCUCCUGCUGCAUGGUGGGGGUUGGAAAGUUUCGGCGGGUGGGGAUGGACGCGCGGCUUAUCAGCUUGUUGGUGGGGUAGUGGCUUACCAAGGCUUUGACGGGUAGCCGGCCUGAGAGGGUGACCGGCCACAUUGGGACUGAGAUACGGCCCAGACUCCUACGGGAGGCAGCAGUGGGGAGUAUUGCACAAUGGGCGGAAGCCUGAUGCAGAGACGCCGCGUGCGGGAUGACGGCCUUCGGGUUGUAAACCGCUUCCGCCUGUGACGAAGCGUGAGUGACGGUAAUGUGUAAAGAAGCACCGGCUAACUACGUG
Molecule: ribosomal RNA, 468 nt
Filed under: uncultured bacterium
Lineage: Bacteria
Description: partial 16S ribosomal RNA
Rfam family: Bacterial small subunit ribosomal RNA
Source: RNAcentral